GAUGAACGCUGGCGGCGUGCCUAAUACAUGCAAGUAGAACGCUGAAGGAAGGAGCUUGCUCUUUCCGGAUGAGUUGCGAACGGGUGAGUAACGCGUAGGUAACCUGCCUGGUAGCGGGGGAUAACUAUUGGAAACGAUAGCUAAUACCGCAUAACAGUAGAUGUUGCAUGAUAUCUACUUAAAAGGUGCAAUUGCACCACUACCAGAUGGACCUGCGUUGUAUUAGCUAGUUGGUGAGGUAACGGCUCACCAAGGCGACGAUACAUAGCCGACCUGAGAGGGUGAUCGGCCACACUGGGACUGAGACACGGCCCAGACUCCUACGGGAGGCAGCAGUAGGGAAUCUUCGGCAAUGGACGGAAGUCUGACCGAGCAACGCCGCGUGAGUGAAGAAGGUUGUCGGAUCGUAAAGCUCUGUUGUAAGAGAAGAGCGAGUGUGAGAGUGGAAAGUUCACACUGUGACGGUAUCUUACCAGAAAGGGACGGCUAACUACGUG
This 497-nucleotide ribosomal RNA is filed under the name uncultured bacterium. Its description in RNAcentral is "partial 16S ribosomal RNA". It matches the Rfam family "Bacterial small subunit ribosomal RNA", at positions 28 to 507 of the family's 1533-position model. The record is from RNAcentral.